CCCUUAUUCAGAGUGAUGGAGACAGAGAGGGUCUAUGAAGUCACGGCAACCCCGUCUAAGCGCGAGCGCGUGAGGGGCGGAAGGUGCCAGCCUGAGCGAGGACAUAGGGCGUUUGCCCUACAAAUCGAGCAAUAAGAG
RNAcentral lists this non-coding RNA (138 nucleotides) under Lachnoclostridium sp. An14. RNAcentral describes it as "SAM riboswitch aptamer (S box leader)". It matches the Rfam family "SAM riboswitch aptamer (S box leader)". Rfam says of the family: The SAM riboswitch is found upstream of a number of genes which code for proteins involved in methionine or cysteine biosynthesis in Gram-positive bacteria. The SAM riboswitch acts at the level of transcription termination control. Lineage: Bacteria; Bacillati; Bacillota; Clostridia; Lachnospirales; Lachnospiraceae. RNAcentral also lists the same sequence under 1 other name. The record is from Rfam by way of RNAcentral.